UGCUCGCUAGUACAUAAACUAUAAUCAUUCUAAAAGUAAGUUUAAAAUGUAUUUUAGGUCCAGUUGAAGUUAAAGAUACACAAGUUUGUGCUUUCUAAAAAGCUGAAGACUGCUUCUCUCUAUCCUAACUUUAGGUAAUAUGUGUGCUCGUUGUUAUUGAUUUAGAAUUAGAAAUGUGGUAUUUUUAUAUAUUGAUUGAUAUAAAUUGAAUUUACUUUAAGUUUGUGCGUUAUACAUGCAUGCUUUUAAAUCAAUUGUUCACUUUACAGUACUUUUCGAAAACUGGUAAAACAUUUACAACUUGUUGUGUUUCUCAGGAGAUGUGCCUAGAUCGGCACGCCGCAGUUAAAUAAUGAUCUAUAAUAUACCGUUAUUGUUUAGCAAAACAAAUGGUGCAUAUUGCAGAUUAACAAAGUAAAUAAACACGUAUAUAUAUAUAUAUAUAUAUAUAUAUAUAUAUAUAUAUAUAUAUAUAUAUAUAUAUUACCAAAGUCUGAUAAACUAUAGGUAUACAAUUAUAUCAACAUCAAUAAUACAUAUAAUACAUACAUAAACACAGACUAUGUGACAGCAGAAGGUGUUGUAGAAUAAACAAACAUUAUUUUAACAUUUCGGAUCUAAGCUUAAAAGAUCUAAAUAUAAAUUUACCUAAAUUACACAAUUCUUUUACAUUAUUAGUACUCAUCAGUUUAAUAAAUUUGUACAUCUAUUAUACUUGAUAUUUCAAUAUUGAAUUUCAAUGUGCCAUAUAUGUAUUAUGGCAAGCCGUUUUACUAUUUAUUCGAAUUUCAAGAUAUCUCCUAUAAUAUAUAAGAUAUCUUAUAUAAUAUAUAAGGUAUCUCCUUUAAUAUAUAAGAUAUUUUAUAUAAUUUCAUUUUUAUAAGAUAUCUCAUAUAUUAUAUAAGAUAUCCUUAAUGUUAUAUGAGAUAUCUUUAAUGUUAUUUAGAUAUAUUUAAUUUUAUAUAAGAUAUCUCAUAAAGUAUCUUAUAAAGUGUAUGAGAUAUCUUAUAAAGUGUAUGAGAUAUCUUAUAAACAAUUUUUAUAUAAGAUAUCUUAUAUAAUUUAUAAGAUAUCUUAUAUAGUUUAUAAAAUAUCUUAUAUAGUUUAUAAGAUAUCUUAUAUAGUUUAUAAGAUAUCUUAUAUAGUUUAUAAGAUAUCAUAUAGUUUAUAAGAUAUCUUAUAUAGUUUAUGAGAUAUCUUAUAUAAGAUAUCUUAUAAACUAUAUAAGAUAUCUUAUAAACUAUAUAAGAUAUCUUAUAAACUUUAGGAGAUAUCUUAAACUCUAUGAGAUAUCUUAUGAACUAAAUAAGAUAUCUCCUAUAGUAUAAAAGAUAUCUUAUAUAAUUUCAUUUUUAUGAGAUAUCUUAUAUAUUAUAUGAGAUAUCUUAUAUAUUAUAUAAGAUAUCUUAUAUAUUAUAUAAGAUAUCUUUAAUGUUAUAUAAGAUAUUUCCUAAAAUUUAUAAGAUAUUUAAUAUACUUUAUAAAAUAUCUUAUAUAAUUUAUAAGAUAUCUUAUAUUGUUUAGAAGAUAUCUUAUAUAGUUUAUAAGAUAUCUCAUAUAGUUUAUAAGAUAUCUUCUAAAGUUUAUGAGAUAUCUUAUAAAGACAAUUAUAUAAGAUAUCUGAUAAGUUAUAUGAGAUAUCUUAUAAACUAUAUAAGAUAUCUUAUAAACUAUAUGAGAUAUCUUAUAAACUAUAUUAGAUAUCUUAUAAACUAGUUAAAAUAUCUUAUAAACUAUAUAAGAUAUCUUAAACUCUAUGAGAUAUCUUGAAGUAAGAAUAAAUAGCAAAACGGCUUGCCAUAAUGUAUAGUAAAACGAACAUGAAACAAUGACAGUUGAUCGGAACUGUAUAACACAUACUAUUAGUUAAUUUUCCGGCAUUUGUUGUCUUAUCCUGAUACGAGAAAAGUCUGUACAUAAUUAUUUAUCUCAAUUAACAUGAUUAAGCCAAUAGCUGUUGCUACAUCUCAUCUCAUCAUAAAGCAACCAAUCAGAAUCUAUUUGUGAUAAGUAAUUAUUUCAAGAUGGUGUGUAUGUCGACUGAAACUAAUAGCUCCGCACCGUGAUGCGAACCAAGAUGCGAAGCAAAAACCACGCAGUUGCCACAUUCUAUAUGUGUUUUCUCCUAGUCAGAAGCCUGUAAUUGGAUUGGAUUUUAUUUGUUACUGUUUCUCACAUUUGUUUUUUGUUUAUUGUUUUGUAGGUUGUUUUCCUGUUUUGUGUGGUCACAUCACUGUCCCAGUUAAGAGUGAGGGUUGGGCGUUUGUUGGUGUGGUUCAUACGACAUAUUGUUUUUUGUUUUUUUUUUUCAGUUUCUCGGUUUUUACAUACAUGGUAUUUAGACCGCUGGUUGUCCUGUUUGAAUAUACUUUCACUUGUCAUUUCGGGGUACUUUAAUUAUAGCUUGCUAUUCGGCGUGAACCAAGACUCCGUAUUGACGGUCGUUCUUUGACCUAUAAUAGUUAAUUUAUUAUACAUUGUGACUUGAAACAGAGUUUUCUCAUUUGCACUCAUACUUCAUCUGUUUGUUUAUAGUACGUUGCUUUUGGUGCAGUUUUAGUCUCGACUAUAACCAGUAGAUGAAGAUUGCGAGUCUUCUGAACAAUGAACAAAUCAAUAGUGCUUGAUUGCACCACAGACUAGUACGUUAAUAAAGGUUUUGUUUGGUGCUUUCAUUUUUAUUCUUGUUAGCUUUCCACAGUUUCACAUAGUUGCCGUUUUCAAAGAACUUCAAAAUAUAGCAGCUAUAGUGCUUUGGUUCUUUGUAUGAGUCGAACAUAGCUUUUGAAACAAAUUUUUGACAAAGAAGUAUUCUAUUCCAUUUUCAAACGUCAAUGAACAAUUAAUUUCAUUUAGUCUGAAAACGAUCUGAAAUAAGACCGUCAAAUAGCAAAACUCAAUAUAAAUCGCAAACUUGCCGAAGCUGCCGAAGCUGGAAAAAUAGAACUAAAGAGUCUAGUUUGCCAGGGCCGGUUAAAUAGCCCUAGCUGCCAUAAAUGAAUGAAUGGUUUCUUUUCAGCAGGUAAGACAGUUUAAGCGUGAUUUUAAUAACUUGGCUAUGAAAAGUUUAUCAUACGGUAUUAUUUUAAUCAAUUUUGGUAUUUUGGUAUUAGAUAAUAUGCUUAGAAAUCACACCAAUCGUGAUAUAAUUAUUGUAUUUGGCUAUUAAAAAGAGGACGUACUCUCUCUGUGCCCAUGAAUCUGUCACUGGUACUUCGUCAAUAGUUGUAUAGCAUAUUAUCGUAGAGUGGUUGUUUCGGACACAAAUUAAGGCUUAGUAAAUAAGAACGUCUCCUUGCAAUGAUACAUGUAUUGAACUCUGAAAAGCUAACGUCACAACAACGGUGACGUCGUGUACAUGGAGAGCGGUAGCGGGAACACCUCAUGUGCAAUUCUUAACAUUCUGGGGGCCCGCAAAUGAAUUUAAUUACAAUAAAAUGAAAAUAAAUUAUGAAAAUUUCACUUUGAAUUACUGUCUCUGAAAACUUUGAAUAGCUUUAACUGUCUUUGAUCAUGAGCACGAAUAAAAUAAAAUUAUUUCUGUAAUAAAGCACGAACAGUUAACAGUCCAGAAUGUUAAGAAUUGCACAUGAGGUGUUCCCGCUACCGCUCUCCAUUUAUACUGCAAUCAGCUAUUUUACUAUACAGAUAAAGCUAUACGUAUAAACGUUAGCUUUAUACGUCAAUGACCUCAACUCACCUAUAGCCGCCUACUUACAACGUCACGUCACAACCAUGACAACGUGUAGUACAAUGGUCAAACUUUUAUGAAUUUAAACCUGUUAUGUCUUCAAAUGUAAUUAUAUAUCAUGUUUAUCAAAUGUUAUUAAUUAAAUUCAUUUUCCCUUUCUAAUUCCUUAAAUUGCCAAUGCUUACCGCCUAGACUACGCUCAUAGGGAAAUACCCUAAAAUGGUACCCCAGGGGAAAUUCCCAACACUUUUUUAAUAAUAUUUGUUUCAUAUUUUUUAUUAUUUUUUUAUUUUUUAUCGAUUUCAGUUAAAAACAAUAUACGAUAGUGUCUUGAAAUAUGAAUUAUUUGUAUUCGCACGAAACGGGAAAAUGCUCGGUAGAACUCGCAUUUUCCCUUUCUAAGCCUCAUACAAAUAAAUUUCAUAUUUCAAGACACUAUACGUAUAUUGUCUAAGUACACGACGUCACCGUUGUUGUCACCUUAUUAAUCAUAAUGCUUAUAUAACAUGGACGAUUCAAUUAUAGAUGUGUAAGCACUAUAUUUUUUUAAUUGUGAUACCAUAAGACAUAUUUUGUUAGCAGUGAACGAAAAGGUAAAACGAGCGACACUGAUAAUCAAGCGCUCAGUAUGCUGUAAUGUCUUAUUGACAACAUAUUUAUUGAAUUUUGAGAUAAACUUCGGCUUAUUUAUGAGAAAGAGCUGUGCGCAUUUUCUUGUCGACCUCUUCUUAUUUUUAUAUGAGUCGGGUUUCUCCAAAGAAGCAAUAUCAUUUAAUUUCACAUUCAGAUGUAUUGAUGACGUUCUCUCCAUUAAUAAUUAAAACUUUUCUGAUUGGGUGCCAUUAAUUUAUCUUCCCGAUAAAAAUAGUCAAAGAAAAACAUACACGUUUUCCUUCGCUUCAUUUUAAGAACGAUACCUCGAAUUUGACAUAAGCAGUGAUCUCAGUACCAGAAUCAAUGACAAACGAGGCAGUCUUUAUUUUGAAGUUAAAAAUGUCAUCCAUCUCAGCAGCAAUAUUCCAACUUUACCUGUAUAUGAGAUAUACAUUUUCAAACUCUUUAAGUCUGUAUUCAAGAGAUUACAGCUGGUAUCCAGACUAUGCAUGUAAAACGUCAUUAGUGUCUGCGCAGAAAGUUGACGAACCAGGUCGGGUUAUGUCAUAGAACAUAUCUUCUUUUUUAUGAAAUUAUGUGUACUAAGCCUGCUACUUUUGAGAAGCUUUUUGAAGUCCUUUAGUACUUUCAAUAAAGCUAUUAACUUAUUCUUGACUGCUCUACAUGUAUAUCUAUGAUUCUUAUUUUUUUCAAGUUCUGCGUAUAUAUUCUAUUUCUUUAUUUUUACCUUCUCAUUUAAAUUCUUUUUGUAUAAAUCGUUUAGUCAAACUUGAAUAAUGAUGGUUCCAAGGUAAGGAUAUGUACGUGCUGUUUUAGAAAAGACAGAAUUUAUACAUUGGCCAUGCAUUGAAUGAAUAAGACAUAUGAAGAUGAUAGAGUUAUCUCUCGUUGUCCAAAUCUAGCUGUAACAUAACCAGAGAGACUGUACGGGUGCUAUUUUAUAAUUAGUGUAAGAACUGAUUUAGUCAUUUCUGAUUUGACAGUUCUACGGUUAGAACUGAUUUAGUCAGUUCUUCUGACAGUUCUCGGUUAGAACGUGACAUUUGACAGUCUACGGUUAGAACUUUUGAAUGGUUGACAUUGAACUAGAACUGAUUUGACAGUUCUUCUGGACAGUUCUUUAGAACUGUGUCAGUUCUGACAGUUUUAAGAACUGAUUUGGCCAGUUCUCUCUGACAGUUUUAGAAGCUAUAACUGAUUUGGUCAGUUAUUGACAGUUCUACGGUUAGAACUGAUUGGACAGUUUCUGACAGUUUACGGUUAUAACGUGGACAUUCUUCUGACAGUUCUCGUUUAGAAUGUUUAGACAUUCUUCUGACAGUUAGAACCAGCCCGUAGCAGGAAUUUCCCAGGGGGGGUUCGUUGACUCAUGAACUCGACUUUAACAGUCACAAUUUGAACAAAACGUUGACUUUAACAUGCUUAUUUGAUUUCAAAGGGGGUUCGUCUCGAACCCCGAACCCCCUGGCGACGGUUGAGAACUGUCUUGGACAAUUUUUUGUCACUUCUACGGUUAUAUAACUGUUUGGACAGUUCUGACAGUUCUACGGUUAGAACUGUUUUGGUCAUUCUUCGCAGUUCAAUUAAAACUGAUUUGGUCAGUUCUUCUGACAGUUCAAUGUAAGAACUGUGGUAUUCUUCUGACAGUUUCUAGAACUGUUUGGACAGUUCUGACUACGUUUAACUAAAGAACUGAUUUGGUCAGUUCUUCUGCAGUUCUACGGUUAGAAUUGAUUGGACAGUUCUUCUGACAGUUCUACGGUUAGAACUGUCAGUUUUUGCUACACAGUUCUACUUCUAUUAACUGACAGUUUAACGGUCAGUUCUAUUGAAUACGGAUAGACUGAUUCUAGCUUGCUGAGUUCUACGAUAGAACUGAUUUGAGAGGUUAGAAGUGACCCCCGCGGUAGUAUACUCGCGCUAUCAUUUUUUUAUGUUCAUUAGACCGUAAUAUUGUGGAUCAAAACUAUAUUUUGGCAUCAAAAUAAAAAAAAAAGAUGAUAAUUAUGCCAUCGGAAAAAUAUGUACUAAGUUUCAAGUUGAUUGGACUUAAACUUCAUCAAAGACUACCUUGAUCAAAAACUUUAACCAGAAGCAGGACGGACCAACGAAUGGACGGACCAACGAACGAAUGGACACAGAGAUAGAACAUCAUAAUGUCUGUAGGUGGUGCAUACAAAGCUCGCAAUAUUUGAAGUUUAAUGGUUGUUCCCUAAUAUAAAGCCAUAACUUUUUCAUACACGGUCUCAAGUAACGGACUAAUAUUUAACUAAAAAGUGAUCAUGCAACUGACACUGCUGGAUAUUUCGCUCAUAUAUUAAUUACAUGUAAAUGUAAUACCAUUUUUAUAGUUUCUCAUAACUCUUUUUAUGGUGGCUCUUGUUUAUAUAUAAAGCUGUAAUAUUAUGCAAAUGUUUUAUAAGAGGCGAGACAAAAAUAAAAUAUUGUAUUGUCUUGUCUUGUUUGUCUAUUUAAAAAAAUCCCGCCUGUACAAGCCUCUAUUUUUGUCGAUAAAUGUAUUUCGUAAUGUUAAACAUUUAAAUCACAUGGUUUGUCAUAACAAUAGGUCAGGUGAUUUUGAUAAAUAAAUAAAUUUAUAAAUAUACGUGUAUUUAGUUGUUUCACACGUACACACACCUAUAGUAGAUUUCAUUUUACACAAGUAAGUUUUUUUAUUAGAAUAUACAUUUUAAAUGCAUAACUUUACGUCGUAUUUUAUUAUUUAAUUUCACAUGUCUUGAUACGGUAACACUAUCACAUGCAGACUAUAUAAGGUUCACUGGUUCAUCGGUCUAACAAACGGAAAAAGAAAAAACUUCCUGUGUUUACACCAGUAGUUAGUACUUAUAUAUAGGUCCUUUGUUGAUAUGACCUAGGCGCCGUUUUACUAUUUAUUACUUUCAAGACACAUCUGGUCCGAGUACACAGUUAUUUCGCAGUGAAUUUCUUUUAGUCAAUAAACGAAAAUUAAAAAGAUCCCACCUGCGCUUUCUCAAUAAUAUUUUUACAGUGUGUUGUACUACUUUUGGGACAAAUUAAAUCAAAAUUACAGAUAACUUCAUCGGCUCUAACUCAAAAUAUGGAAAAUUUUAUGUUAAGGGUUUUUUUUUUUUUUAAAUUAUGUUUAAUUACGCGAGCAAAAUUUAAUGCACUACUCGACGGUUCCCAAGUGAAUAGCCUUCAUCUAUAGAUAUAUAUAUGGCUAGGAAUCUGACAUUCUGCAGUAACUGUAAUAUUUUCAAAAGUACUCAUAUGCAGUUGUGAUAAUACUAGAUUGAUUAAAACUCUAUUUUGUUUUUUUUUAAGGGGGUCUUGAAAUCUUUUGACAGUGCUAAUUUUUAACCUUUUUCAGCUGGACCCAAUCAAAUUGAUGACCCGAAUUUUUUGACAGUGUCAUUCCAUCCCCAUCCCACCAAACUUGCUAUUUGAGGCAUAAAACAUGGAGAAAAACAUUUGGAAGGGGAUUCAUAAAAAAUUGGCGAGUAACACACUGUCCUUACUAAGGACUAUAUGCGUACAACCACACACUACCAAUUUCAGUACGUACACGUGUUUCUUGAAGUUAAACUACUCCGAGGGGGGGGGGGGGGGGGGGGAGGGGGGCACUACAAACUCCUCCCCCCCCCCGCCCGAGAUAGCUACAGGUACAUACGUACGUUAUGGGCACAUUAUACGGACUUGGUGGGGUUAUCAAAAUAGACAGAAAAAAUAGGUUUAAAAAAAGGCAAACAAAAACUGAGACAAAUAUUAGUUAAAGAAUUUCGAAUGUUUGUGUGUUAAAAAUAAAGACUAGAGAAUAUGGGGAUAUGGGGAUAAAUACAUAAAUAAAGCAUAAAGAAAAAUGGCUCAAAAUACAAAAGAUAUAAAUGAAGAUCCCCUUCCAGACCCCCUGAUAGAAUGAGGUAAAUUCACUAUUACUUAUCAGCAACACGAAGGAUGACACAAGAGAAACAGACAUCUUUCUGGACCUGCUUAAGACCCUCUAGGGCACAUGACACCACCACUGGUUUCGAUGGGUUUGUGUUGCUCAGUUUAUAGUUGUCUAUGUUGUAUACCCUUGUUUGUCUUUUGGUCUAUUUCACUUUUUUGUUGCCAUAUAUAUAGUUUUAUUGGUUAAAAUUUAAAGAUAUGUGAUUUUGAUUGUCACAAUGUCAUCAUUCGCCUCUCUUUUUGGACGUCGAUAUUUAAAAGAUCCUUUCGCAAGCAUUGAAUUUAAAAAGCAUUUUACUAUUAAUUUUGUAUAUGUGCGCUAGAGAUACAAUGCAGUUACAAACACUUUAAUUGAAAUUUCACUAACCGAUUGCAAUGCAUUUGAGUUUUGUUUUCAGGACGAAAUAUGGAAUGAAAUAACAGUGUGUCAGGUAAAAUUAUUAAAUCCGAAUUUAACAAUGGUACCAGUUAAUAAUUAACGCCUGAUUAAAACCUUUGCUUGUGUCAUUGUAGAUUUUGAUAUGGUUCACGGAGGCGGACAUUGUUCUGGUGGUGGCGGAGGUGGUUUCAGCGGGGGUGGGGGAUUCAGUGGCGGAGGAUUCCGCACGACAGUCUACUCAAAUAAUUAUUAUUCGUCCCCUCGGAGUUAUGGUCGCGGAUCGGGAGGUUCAGAUGAUUGUGACUGUACUUGCUGUAAAUCGUGUUGUCUAGCAAUCACGUGUGUUUCGUUAAAACCAAAGUCACGCUUGAGAUUUCUUUGGUUUCUGGUUAUUGCAAUAACUUUAAUAAUUUCGUUAUCCGUCUCAUUUGGAACAUACGGAAAACAUACAACCGACACUUCUUCAAGCGACAUGCGACAUAUCUCUAACGGGAUUUCACCGAGAUUUUGUACCGGGGUUAAUGUCAAAAGUCAAAAUUACCCAGUAUCUGUGUACAUGUUACCAAACAAACCAGUCAUUAAUACAAAAAACAAAACUACCUUUACUUACAAUAAAUAUUCCAGUUUAGGGAGUCAGAUGUUUGAAUAUUGGGGUUUUUACCUAUUAGAAAAUUCGUUUGUGACAAUUAAAGCGUGUUCUAGUUACUCUAGAAAAGGAGUUGAUUAUUAUUUUGUUAAAGGAAAACAAAACUUACAAAGAUGGAAGAACGACAACUAUUGUGACUCGUGCUUUGAAUAUCAUAAGGCAACAGACGAAUGUAACGAUGGCAACUCUACUUUCCUGCAUAUUGCAUAUACAUCUGACGAAUAUUACUUUGUGUUUGCAAACCAUCAAGAUUAUUCGGAUCCAGUCAGCGUGACCGUUACAAUCGAACUAAAAAGAACGUACUAUGAUUUGUCGUCUGCCGUCCACAAAUGUAUGAAUUCUUACGAAUGUGAUGUGUCAUACACCAAUGACGAUUAUAGUGAAACUGUCGUCGUUGAAAUACCCCACAUCAAUACUGAAAACAUAGAAGUGGAUUCAACGUGUUACAGACGGGCCGGAGUUUUCGUGGGACUUUUCUUUAUCAUGCCACUGGGUAUCGGGAUUUCAAUAAGUGCUGUUAUUUACUUUGCUUGUAUUCGUAGGAGAACAAAACCGACAUCUACACCGUAUAGGGUAUUGCAAAAUCCAACAGGCGCACAAUACUCUACAUUCCCGGAAGCGUCGGCUCCAGUGAUGGAACGUGAUCAGGAGCUACCACCAGCGUAUCCGGGACCACCUUCGUAUGAAGAAUCGACAAAGACCGUCAAAAAGUAAAUGUAUCGAACAAUGAUCGAUUCAGACCAAAAAAAAGUAGAGGUUUCGAACAAUCGAUAAAGACAAACAAACAUUAUAUACUAUAUUUAAUCUUUUACAAAAACAUAUCUUUUGUUAUUUUAAUCGCCUUAUUUUAUGUUUAUAUUUUAAUACACAUGUUAAGAUACGAGUUUUACAAACCUGCUAGAAACUAACAAAUUCUAAGACAUGUCUUAAAUGGUAUGGUGUCUGAUUUUGAGGGCAGGUUGAGGAUUCUUACUUUAAGGUCUAUUCUUUUCAUAUGAUUAUAUACUGGCAAGUUUAGUAAAAACAAAUGUUUGACUUAUACUGUUUAGCUUGGCCUUAGCUGAGUAGUUACAGUAGUUCAUUUAGUGUAGUAAUAGGCUCACACUGAGAUUCUCAGUUGACACCCCG
Molecule: long non-coding RNA, 10389 nt
Filed under: Mytilus galloprovincialis (Mediterranean mussel)
Lineage: Eukaryota; Metazoa; Mollusca; Bivalvia; Mytilida; Mytilidae
Source: RNAcentral